GGUGAACGCUGGCGGCGUGCCUAAUACAUGCAAGUCGAACGAAGAUCUAGCUUGCUAGAUCUUAGUGGCGAACGGGUGAGUAAUACAUAAAUAAUCUGCCCAUAUGACUGGGAUAACUAUUGGAAACGAUAGCUAAUACCGGAUAGGUUGAUCGGAGGCAUCUCUGAUGAAUUAAAGUAGGAUUUCUACACAAAUGGAUGAGUUUAUGGCGCAUUAGUUAGUUGGUGGGGUAACGGCCUACCAAGACGAUGAUGCGUAGCCGACCUGAGAGGGUGACCGGCCACACUGGGACUGAGACACGGCCCAGACUCCUACGGGAGGCAGCAGUAGGGAAUUUUCGGCAAUGGGCGCAAGCCUGACCGAGCAACGCCGCGUGAGUGAUUAAGACCUUCGGGUUGUAAAGCUCUGUUGUAAGGGAAGAACAUUCAGGAUAGGAAAUGAUCUUGAACUGACGGUACCUUACCAGAAAGCCACGGCUAACUACGUGCCAGCCGCCGCCGUAA
This 503-nucleotide ribosomal RNA is filed under the name uncultured bacterium. Its description in RNAcentral is "partial 16S ribosomal RNA". It matches the Rfam family "Bacterial small subunit ribosomal RNA", at positions 28 to 523 of the family's 1533-position model. The record is from RNAcentral.